RNAcentral lists this ribosomal RNA (439 nucleotides) under uncultured bacterium. Its description in RNAcentral is "partial 16S ribosomal RNA". It matches the Rfam family "Bacterial small subunit ribosomal RNA", at positions 339 to 795 of the family's 1533-position model. The record is from RNAcentral.
CUACGGGCGGCACCAGUGGGGAAUAUUGCACAAUGGAGGAAACUCUGAUGCAGCAACGCCGCGUGGAGGAUGGCACUUUUCGGAGCGUAAACUCCUUUUAUAUAGGAAGAAGAUGACGGUACUAUAUGAAUAAGCGCCGGCUAACUCCGUGCCAGCAGCCGCGGUAAUACGGAGGGCGCAAGCGUUACUCGGAAUCACUGGGCGUAAAGAGCGUGUAGGCGGAUUAAAAAGUCAGAAGUGAAAUCCUAUAGCUUAACUAUAGAACUGCUUCUGAAACUCUUAAUCUAGAAUAUGGGAGAGGUAGAUGGAAUUUCUGGUGUAGGGGUAAAAUCCGUAGAGAUCAGAAGGAAUACCGAUUGCGAAGGCGAUCUACUAGAACAUUAUUGACGCUGAGACGCGAAAGCGUGGGGAGCAAACAGGAUUAGAUACCCCGGUAGUC